AGUGAACGCUGGCGGUAGGUCUAACACAUGCAAGUCGAGCGGCAGCACAGUAAGAGCUUGCUCUUACGGGUGGCGAGUGGCGGACGGGUGAGGAAUACAUCGGAAUCUACUUUUUCGUGGGGGAUAACGUAGGGAAACUUACGCUAAUACCGCAUACGACCUACGGGUGAAAGCAGGGGAUCUUCGGACCUUGCGCGAUUGAAUGAGCCGAUGUCGGAUUAGCUAGUUGGCGGGGUAAAGGCCCACCAAGGCGACGAUCCGUAGCUGGUCUGAGAGGAUGAUCAGCCACACUGGAACUGAGACACGGUCCAGACUCCUACGGGAGGCAGCAGUGGGGAAUAUUGGACAAUGGGCGCAAGCCUGAUCCAGCCAUACCGCGUGGGUGAAGAAGGCCUUCGGGUUGUAAAGCCCUUUUGUUGGGAAAGAAAAGCAGCAGGUUAAUACCCCGCUGUUCUGACGGUACCCAAAGAAUAAGCACCGGCUAACUUCGUG
Molecule: ribosomal RNA, 492 nt
Filed under: uncultured bacterium
Lineage: Bacteria
Description: partial 16S ribosomal RNA
Rfam family: Bacterial small subunit ribosomal RNA
Source: RNAcentral